This 460-nucleotide ribosomal RNA is filed under the name uncultured bacterium. RNAcentral describes it as "partial 16S ribosomal RNA". It matches the Rfam family "Bacterial small subunit ribosomal RNA", at positions 338 to 795 of the family's 1533-position model. The record is from RNAcentral.
CCUACGGGAGGCAGCAGUGAGGAAUAUUGGUCAAUGGACGAGAGUCUGAACCAGCCAAGUAGCGUGAAGGAUGACUGCCCUAUGGGUUGUAAACUUCUUUUAUAAAGGAAUAAAACGAGGCACGUGUGCCUUUUUGCAUGUACUUUAUGAAUAAGGAUCGGCUAACUCCGUGCCAGCAGCCGCGGUAAUACGGAGGAUCCGAGCGUUAUCCGGAUUUAUUUGGUUUAAAGGGAGCGUAGAUGGGUUGUUAAGUCAGUUGUGAAAGUUUGCGGCUCAACCGUAAAAUUGCAAUUGAUACUGGCAGUCUUGAGUACAGUUGAGGUAAGCGGAAUUCGUGGUGUAGCGGUGAAAUGCUUAGAUAUCACGAAGAACCCCGAUUGCGAAGGCAGCUUACUAAACUGUGACUGACAUUGAUGCUGGAAAGUGUGGGUAUCAAACAGGAUUAGAUACCCUAGUAGUC